CGAUAAGGGAACUCCUAGUGCUCAUGUUAUGCAUGGGCUUUUGCCAAGUGUAAAUAGCUUGGCGAAUAAGUGGUGGGUAAGACGGGUGCCAGCCGCCGCGGUAACACCUGCGCCACGAGUAGCAUUCACGUUUAUUGGGCCUAAAGCGUCCGUAGCCGGAUUUGUAAGUCUUGAGUGAAAUCGUUGCGCUUAACAAAACGACGUGCUUGGGAAACUACAAGUCUUGGGACCGGGAGGCGUCAAGGGUAUUCCUGAGGGAGCGGUAAAAUGCUAUAAUCUCAGGAGGACCACCUGUGGUGAAGACGCUUGACGAGAACGGAUUCGACGGUGAGGGACGAAAGCUAGGGGAGCAAAACGGAUUAGAUACCCGAGUAGUCCUAGCUGUAAACGCUGUGUACUAGAUGUUGCGUAUUCUACGAGAAUACGCAGUGUCGGAGCGAAGGCGUUAAGUACACCGCCUGGGAAGUACGGUCGCAAGGCUGAAACUUAAAG
Molecule: ribosomal RNA, 492 nt
Filed under: uncultured euryarchaeote
Lineage: Archaea; Methanobacteriati; Methanobacteriota
Description: bacterial SSU rRNA
Rfam family: Archaeal small subunit ribosomal RNA
Source: RNAcentral